Non-coding RNA from Stegodyphus mimosarum, 73 nucleotides. The record is from Rfam. NCBI's taxonomy places the organism in Eukaryota, Metazoa, Arthropoda, Arachnida, Araneae, Eresidae.
GACUUCGUGGUGUAGUGGUCAGCCCGCUUGACGCGUAACCAAGAGGUCCGUGGUUCGAUUCCAGGCGAAGGCG